This 378-nucleotide ribosomal RNA is filed under the name uncultured Phycisphaerae bacterium. RNAcentral's name for it is "bacterial SSU rRNA". It matches the Rfam family "Bacterial small subunit ribosomal RNA", at positions 521 to 896 of the family's 1533-position model. Lineage: Bacteria; Pseudomonadati; Planctomycetota; Phycisphaerae. The record is from RNAcentral.
UAAUACGAAUGGUCCAAGCGUUGUUCGGAAUCACUGGGCUUAAAGCGCACGUAGGCGGAACGUUAAGUGUCUUGUGAAAUCCCUACGGCUUAACCGAGGAAUGGCAGGGCAUACUGGCGUUCUUGAGGCAAGUAGGGGUGCAUGGAACUCUAGGUGGAGCGGUGAAAUGCGUAGAUAUCUAGAGGAACGCCUGUGGUGAAAACGGUGCACUGGCCUUGUUCUGACGCUGAGGUGCGAAAGCGUGGGUAGCGAGAAGGAUUAGAUACCCUUGUAGUCCACGCCGUAAACGAUGCCUACUAGGUUUCGGGAGUUCUGACGCUUUCGGAGCCGUAGCAAAAGUCUUAAGUAGGCCGCCUGGGGAGUACGGUCGCAAGGCUA